ACCAGGUAGUUGAGGUAAUAAUGAGACUAUAAGGAGUACCAGUACUGAGUCAAUGUGCAGGGUACCAGUACUGAGUCAAUGUGCAGGGUACCAGGUAGUUGAGGUAAUAUGUACAUGUAGUUCGGGGAAAAAGUGACGAGGCAAUCAGGAUGGAGGUUACAUCUCCUCACCCAGGGAGCGCACACACACACACACACACACACACACACACACACACACACACACACACACACACACACACACACACACACACACACACACACACACACACACACACACACACACACA
Long non-coding RNA from Oncorhynchus tshawytscha (Chinook salmon), 288 nucleotides. RefSeq lists it as uncharacterized. The record is from RefSeq and is a predicted model, not a curated record. NCBI's taxonomy places the organism in Eukaryota, Metazoa, Chordata, Actinopteri, Salmoniformes, Salmonidae. The transcript has 2 exons.